AUAAACGCUGGCGGCGUGCUUAACACAUGCAAGUCGAACGGAGUACUCUCCAGAGACCGAAGAAGCUUGCUUCUGAAGAAUCAUUGAAGUACUUAGUGGCGGACGGGUGAGUAACGCGUGGGUAACCUGCCUCACACAGGGGGAUAACAGUUGGAAACGACUGUUAAUACCGCAUAAGCGCACAGUAUCGCAUGAUACAGUGUGAAAAACUCCGGUGGUGUGAGAUGGACCCCGCGUCUGAUUAGCUAGUUGGUGAGGUAACGGCCCACCAAGGCGACGAUCAGUAGCCGGCCUGAGAGGGUGUACGGCCACAUUGGGACUGAGACACGGCCCAAACUCCUACGGGAGGCAGCAGUGGGGAAUAUUGCACAAUGGGGGAAACCCUGAUGCAGCGACGCCCGCGUGAGUGAUGAAGUAUUUCGGUAUGUAAAGCUCUAUCAGCAGGGAAGAUAAUGACGGUACCUGACUAAGAAGCACCGGCUAAAUACGUGCCAGCAGCCGC
RNAcentral lists this ribosomal RNA (502 nucleotides) under uncultured bacterium. RNAcentral's name for it is "bacterial SSU rRNA". It matches the Rfam family "Bacterial small subunit ribosomal RNA", at positions 29 to 518 of the family's 1533-position model. The record is from RNAcentral.